This 420-nucleotide ribosomal RNA is filed under the name Agrobacterium sp. 010793814. RNAcentral describes it as "bacterial SSU rRNA". It matches the Rfam family "Bacterial small subunit ribosomal RNA", at positions 40 to 509 of the family's 1533-position model. The record is from RNAcentral. Lineage: Bacteria; Pseudomonadati; Pseudomonadota; Alphaproteobacteria; Hyphomicrobiales; Rhizobiaceae.
CGGCUGGCUUAACACAUGCAAGUCGAACGCCCCGCAAGGGGAGUGGCAGACGGGUGAGUAACGCGUGGGAACAUACCCUUUCCUGCGGAAUAGCUCCGGGAAACUGGAAUUAAUACCGCAUACGCCCUACGGGGGAAAGAUUUAUCGGGGAAGGAUUGGCCCGCGUUGGAUUAGCUAGUUGGUGGGGUAAAGGCCUACCAAGGCGACCAUCCAUAGCUGGUCUGAGAGGAUGAUCAACCACAUUGGGACUGAGACACGGCCCAAACUCCUACGGGAGGCAGCAGUGGGGAAUAUUGGACAAUGGGCGCAAGCCUGAUCCAACCAUGCCGCGUGAGUGAUGAAAGCCUUAGGGUUGUAACAGCUCUUUCACCGAUGAAGAUAUGACGGUAGUCGGAGAAGAAGCCCCGGCUUACUUCUGCC